AGUAGCUCAGCUGGAUAGAGCAUUCGCCUUCUAAGCGAACGGUCAUGGGUUCGAAUCCCUUCUG
RNAcentral lists this transfer RNA (64 nucleotides) under uncultured Tetragenococcus sp. It matches the Rfam family "tRNA", at positions 6 to 65 of the family's 71-position model. Rfam says of the family: Transfer RNA (tRNA) molecules are approximately 80 nucleotides in length. Their secondary structure includes four short double-helical elements and three loops (D, anti-codon, and T loops). The record is from RNAcentral. Lineage: Bacteria; Bacillati; Bacillota; Bacilli; Lactobacillales; Enterococcaceae.